UACGUAGGGGGCAAGCGUUGUCCGGAAUCAUUGGGCGUAAAGAGCGUGUAGGCGGCUCGGUAAGUCCGCUGUGAAAGUCCAGGGCUCAACCCUGGAAUGCCGGUGGAAACUGUCGAGCUAGGUGUCCGGAAGAGGCGAGUGGAAUUCCUGGUGUAGCGGUGAAAUGCGCAGAUAUCAGGAGGAACACCAAUGGCGAAGGCAGCUCGCUGGGACGGUACUGACGCUGAGACGCGAAAGCGUGGGGAGCAAACAGG
RNAcentral lists this ribosomal RNA (254 nucleotides) under uncultured bacterium. RNAcentral describes it as "partial 16S ribosomal RNA". It matches the Rfam family "Bacterial small subunit ribosomal RNA", at positions 524 to 776 of the family's 1533-position model. The record is from RNAcentral.